GUAAAGAGCUCGUAGGCGGUUUGUCGCGUCUGCUGUGAAAGCCCGGGGCUCAACCCCGGGUCUGCAGUGGGUACGGGCAGACUAGAGUGCAGUAGGGGAGACUGGAAUUCCUGGUGUAGCGGUGAAAUGCGCAGAUAUCAGGAGGAACACCGAUGGCGAAGGCAGGUCUCUGGGCUGUUACUGACGCUGAGGAGCGAAAGCAUGGGGAGCGAACAGGAUUAGAUACCCUGGUAGUCCAUGCCGUAAACGUUGGGCACUAGGUGUGGGGGACAUUCCACGUUCUCCGCGCCGUAGCUAACGCAUUAAGUGCCCCGCCUGGGGAGUACGGCCGCAAGGCUAAAACUCAAAGGAAUUGACGGGGGCCCGCACAAGCGGCGGAGCAUGCGGAUUAAUUCGAUGCAACGCGAAGAACCUUACCAAGGCUUGACAUUCACCGGACCGCUCCAGAGAUGGGGUUUCCCUUCGGGGUCGGUGGACAGGUGGUGCAUGGUUGUCGUCAGCUCGUGUCGUGAGAUGUUGGGUUAAGUCCCGCAACGAGCGCAACCCUCGUUCUAUGUUGCCAGCACGUGAUGGUGGGGACUCAUAGGAGACUGCCGGGGUCAACUCGGAGGAAGGUGGGGAUGACGUCAAAUCAUCAUGCCCCUUAUGUCUUGGGCUUCACGCAUGCUACAAUGGCCGGUACAAAGGGUUGCGAUACUGUGAGGUGGAGCUAAUCCCAAAAAGCCGGUCUCAGUUCGGAUUGAGGUCUGCAACUCGACCUCAUGAAGUCGGAGUCGCUAGUAAUCGCAGAUCAGCAACGCUGCGGUGAAUACGUUCCCGGGCCUUGUACACACCGCCCGUCAAGUCACGAAAGUUGGUAACACCCGAAGCCGGUGGCCUAACCCCUUGUGGGAGGGAGCCGUCGAAGGGG
RNAcentral lists this ribosomal RNA (910 nucleotides) under Kocuria turfanensis. RNAcentral's name for it is "bacterial SSU rRNA". It matches the Rfam family "Bacterial small subunit ribosomal RNA", at positions 560 to 1464 of the family's 1533-position model. Lineage: Bacteria; Bacillati; Actinomycetota; Actinomycetes; Micrococcales; Micrococcaceae. The record is from RNAcentral.